UAGCCCUUGGAUGGUUGGAUUUGUGC
RNAcentral lists this non-coding RNA (26 nucleotides) under Homo sapiens (human). The record is from RNAcentral. Lineage: Eukaryota; Metazoa; Chordata; Mammalia; Primates; Hominidae.